RNAcentral lists this ribosomal RNA (444 nucleotides) under uncultured bacterium. RNAcentral describes it as "partial 16S ribosomal RNA". It matches the Rfam family "Bacterial small subunit ribosomal RNA", at positions 354 to 796 of the family's 1533-position model. The record is from RNAcentral.
GUGAGGAAUAUUGGUCAAUGGGCGAGAGCCUGAACCAGCCAAGUCGCGUGAAGGAAGAAGGAUCUAUGGUUCGUAAACUUCUUUUGCAGGGAAUAAAGUGCGGGACGUGUCCUGUUUUGUAUGUACCCUGAGAAUAAGGAUCGGCUAACUCCGUGCCAGCAGCCGCGGUAAUACGGAGGAUCCGAGCGUUAUCCGGAUUUAUUGGGUUUAAAGGGUGCGUAGGUGGUUUGAUAAGUCAGCGGUGAAAGUUUGCAGCUUAACUGUAAAAAUGCCGUUGAAACUGUCGGACUUGAGUGUAAAUGAGGUAGGCGGAAUGCGUGGUGUAGCGGUGAAAUGCAUAGAUAUCACGCAGAACUCCGAUUGCGAAGGCAGCUUACUAAGCUACAACUGACACUGAAGCACGAAAGCGUGGGGAUCAAACAGGAUUAGAAACCCUAGUAGUCC